UACACACAUAACUUUCCCCAUAAUGCCCCUCUCUCCUUUCAUCCUUACCAGGGAUUCACCUCAGCUGACCGGCCUCCACCUGUUCCAUCAAUACCCAAAAUGAAUCCCUGAUCAGGGAUGAAGAGAUAUGCUCAGCAUUAUUGAGCUCCUUGAGGAGACCAAGUAAGGAUCUGGUUCCAAUUCAAGUUGAAACAAUUACCGGUGUCCCCCCCUUCCCAUUCCCCCCUCUUUUAAAUAUGCUGUAAUAUUUUUGCAUCUUAAAUAUUUUCAUGCUGGGUUCCUUUCCAGGCAGCUAAUUAUAAACUUCAUUAUAAUAGUUCAUUAUAUUCUUCUAUUGUUCAAUUAGUUUAACAAGUUGCCAAGUGGAAUACAAGGCAGGCAAUUAGCUUGAUCUAAUGGCAAUGAACUCCUGAAUGUGGGUUACCAAAAAUAUCCUUUAUAGAGCUCUUCUUGCAAAUUUUACCAAUCAGUGAACAAUAGAAAAAAGAAAGAAAAGGGGACCGAAAAAAAGAGUGUGUCCAGAAAUUUAUCCAUGGGUGGAACUGCUCUUCUUUGCUUUUAUUAAACGGCAGUGUGAGUAGUGAAGGAGAACAUUAAAAUUCUACCACCACAAACUUUCUUCUCCCAUUCCUCAUAAAACACUGUGGGUAUGUCGUCAUCCCUGUCUUUGCUUUUUAUUUAAGGUUUAACAUGUUUGAUGCACUGAAUGGGCAAGAUCAUGAUCGUUUUGAUCUGAUCAAGUAUUUGUGAGCUUUUAAAUGGAGUGUGUGUAUGUGUGUGUUCAGAGCAAAGGUAUGAAAGAGAGAGAGAGAGAGAGAGAGAGAGAGAGAGAGAGUGCAAGCCAAACAAGAAGUUUGGACAGUGAUAAGAACAUAGGAAGGGAUCUGCAGCUGGAUCAGACCAAAUGCCCAUCUUCUCCAGCAUCCUGUUUUCACUGUGGCCAAGUGGGGUCCUAUGGCAAGCCCACAGGCAAGACAUGAGCACAACACCUCCCUCGUAGUAUGGCCUGCAACAGUGGAACCAGGUCAUGGGCAUCAUGGCUAGCAGCCAGCCAUUAAGAGCCUUCUCCUCCAUGAACUUUCCCAAUCCCCGUUUUAAGCUGUCUAAGUUGGCAGCCAUCUCACUAGUUCUUACGGGAAGAAAUUCCACAGUUUUAACUGUGUGCUGUGUGGAGUACUUCUUAUGAUCUGCCCUGAAACUCCUGACAUUCAGCUUCAGUAUCUAGCCCAGAGUCCUAACACGAGAGGUAGAAACAAUUCCUUUUCUCUCCAUUGUGCGUAACGUUGUACAUCCUCAGCAUCUCCUCCCUUUCUAGUCUUUUUUCCUAAACUCAAAAGCCUCAGAUGCUGUAACCCUUGCUCAUAUGGUAGCUCUCCCUUGAUCAUUCUGCUCGCCUGUGUGAAUGCCUCUUUUAAAAUCCACCCCACUAACAAUCCACAGGAUUCCUAACGUGGCACAGGAAGAUCUGACACUUCUCCCUCUUUAUCCAAUACCUCCCUGCAGCGAUGGCAUUGAUCACAGAAGGAGUUAAUGACAUGGCAGUCGAUGAAAUCACCAAGGAAUUAAGUUCAGGCUCAGGCAUUAUUAGCUCCUGACUUGAACCAGAACUUCUUGACAUCUUCUUGACAUCUGUUUCCGACAAAGACAAAAAGUGCAUGUACCCCUCAGCAUGCCACAAAGGGAAAUCGGGAUGCAUAUCCUUUGCUAAGAGAAUCAUAGACUCAUAGAACUGCAGAGUGGAGGGUUCCUGAGAGUCAUCCUGCCCAACCCACUGUUAGAAUUCCUGCUCCAUGAUUGCAGUCAUGGGAUUUUUGUCUAUCACAUGACGGUAUAUGUUUUGACUCCGCAGUGAUGGAGACAGGAUGUUUGUGUUACUGUGUUCCGUGAAGUGGGACUCUUGUCGUUUGUUCCUUUUCUCUUUGCUGUCUGAUGCUUGAGAGAGAAGGAGCCAUGUUGCAGUGCUGUCUGUGUGUUUAUAUGUAAAUAAAGUAGAUUAGCCAAAAUGCUGAGUUGCUGAGGUCUGUCACGCAAGUUGCGCAAACUCUGCGGAUCCCUAAGUGUGCCAGUGUCAGUUGGCGUCGGUCGCUGUGAUGUUCAGGGCAGAAGAAAGCUUAUGAAGCUCCCAAACGAUCGAACAGGAGGGAGAGAACAUGCCAGUUGGGCAUGUGUCUUUGCCAGGGUCAUACUCAAGUGUAAGCUGAACUCCUGACACCCACAACAAGGCCAGGAUCUCACCCCAGCAGGACAGGUUUACUGGAGACUGAGAGCGCGCACACUCCCCUUAAAGCCGGCUGCCUAUGAAGAAUGUAGGCAGUCGGGAGACAGAGAGGAGGUGUGGCAGGAGCCAGAGCUGGAGUCCGCUGCCUUCUGCUCCAACACUGGACAGAGGUAGCCGCCCUCUAGCCAGUACCAGUGCUGCCACUCAGGGACUAUGGGCACCCACAUAGCCAUCUGCCUCCCAGCCAGGAUGGGGCACAUGUCACACCUUUUGCAUGGCUGCACACUCUUCUCUGCUCACUCAGAUGCCUGAGGAAUUUGGAAGUACCUGCUGUGGCUGCCACAGUCAAGGGCGAGAGCCGCAGGGCUAAAAUCUGGGGUGUCUCGAUUAAAUCAGGACAGUUGACGGGUUUGAGUCUGACAAGCUCUCCGCUCUUGACACCAGCUGGGAUUUAACCCUCAAUUGAGACAGGUGUGUGUGCCUGAGACAAAGAUUAUGGUGGCUUGCUUAUGGCACAGUGGCAAAACUGUGAUAAUAAAGAGUGGGGAAUUCAGCAUUAUUGUUCAAACCAUCUAGGCAGAUUUUAGAAUUUAAGAAGAGUCCUUCUGGAUCAGGCCAAAGGCCCACUUAGUCCAGCAUCCUGUUCUCACAGUGACUCUUGAAAUGACUCUGGGAAGUCCACCAGCAGGGCGUGAUUCUGUUUUGAGGCAUAGCUAAGUACACAGAUCCAGUGUGAGAAGUUUGAACAUUCUUAAAAAUAGGACAAUUAAUGGCCAGUAUAUUGUCACACCCAGCUGGGGACUUCACAGUGGACCUUCUUUGUGGUAAAACAGACAGCUCAUCGCAAGAGCAGCAGCUGUAGAAAUAAUGACGUAGAGCAGUCUUUGCCAACCUCGUGUCCUCCAGAUUUUUGGGUCAACACCUCCCAUGCAGGUGGUGUCAAGAUACAAACAGGCCUUCACAGGGGUGACUCCCUGUCUGUGGAAUUCUCUCUCUCCAGGGAAGUGCACCUGAUGCCUUCAUUGUUUCCUUUAGGUGCCAGGUUAAAACAUUUCUGUUAACUCAGGCCUCCUGGCCAUCGCUUAGUGGGGUGGGAAGAAUUGGAUUAUUUAUCUAGGAUGAGCAUGUCCAGGUAUUGUGUCUUAUAUUGGUUGUUGUUGUUGUUUUAAAGUGUUUUAAUGCCUUUUAAAGAUGCCUGCUUCUUGGGAGAAAAGCAAUGAGAAACCUAGACAGCAUCUUAAAAAGCAGAGACAUCACCUUGCCAACAAAGGUCCGUAUAGUUAAAGCUAUGGUUUUCCCAGUAGUGAUGUAUGGAAGUGAGAGCUGGACCAUAAAGAAGGCUGAUCGCCGAAGAAUUGAUGCUUUUGAAUUGUGGUGCUGGAGGAGACUCUUGAGAGUCCCAUGGACUGCAAGAAGAUCAAACCGAUCCAUUCUGAAGGAAAUCAGCCCUGAGUGCUCACUGGAAGGACAGAUCCUGAAGCUGAGGCUCCAAUACUUUGGCCACCUCAUGAGAAGAGAAGACUCCCUGGAAAAGACCCUGAUGUUGGGAAAGAUGGAGGGCACAAGGAGAAGGGGACGACAGAGGACAAGAUGGCUGGACAGUGUUCUCGAAGCUACCAGCAUGAGUCUGACCAAACUGCGGGAGGCAGUGGAAGACAGGAGUGCCUGGCGUGCUCUGGUCCAUGGGGUCACGAAGAGUCGGACAUUACUAAACGACUAAACAACAACAACAAUGCCUUUUAUGCGGGAAGACACCUUGAGACACUCUUCUCUGUGUGAAAAGUGACAAAGAAAUAUAUUAGAUAAAGGAAUCACUAAAUGAUUUUGGGAAUGGGCACAGAUCCUAACCCCAGUCACCCACAGCUUCUCUGGUUUAACCACAAAGAAGCAAAAUGCUAGGUCAUAAUUUCCUUUCAUUUUAUGAAUUCGAAUAUCUGAGGCCUGGGACCGAACACUCCCAGUCAGGGGCUGGUCCCCAUGCAUUUCUCUUUUUACCUCAACAAUUUUAAAUUCAAACCUGGGAAAUCCAACUGAAUGCCACCUGUGUGCCGUUUUCCAAUUCAGCGCCACUUUGAUUCCCUUCAGUCGCGAGCGUCACCGUCUGACAAACCCCCUCGCUUUGACAGAUGGAUGAGCUUUGUGCUAUCCUCCCCUUAAUGUGCUCCCUCGGUGCUCUUACAAAAUUUCCUCUCAGGGAUUCUUGUUCCUAAGCAGAAAGAGAGAGAUAAAUGGCUUGUCGCGUUGGAGAGAUGAAUAACCACACCCAGGACGGUUCAUAUGCUGCUUUCUCCCUUCCUCCCGUCUCUCUCUCUCUCUCCCUUUCUUCCCCCCUCAGCAAAAUCCUCCUAAUGUGGUGUCAUAUCUCCUCACGAGCUCUAAUUAGUCUCUCCUUUCCAGUUGUGAGGGGGACGGAUGUCAACAAGUCUGUUCCCAUAACAGGCUGGAGAUUAAAGAUGAUGGCUGCCACCCAAGGCGAAGGGCGCUGAGGAGCUGGAGAGCCCAUGGGGAGAUCACAGAGGGAGAAAUCCACAUCUGCAACUCUCCAAAAUCCAGGCGACUGCCUCAUCAGUAAUUCAGGUCUCAGCGGAGAGAACCGUUCCGCCUAAUGAGGACACUUCCGUGCUGGAGGGUUAGCAUUUGUGCGCAUCUAUCUGUUGCCAGGAUGCUCUGACAAGACUAUUUCUCCCAAAAUGUCAAGCGGGCAGAAGAGGCAAGAAAAAGCCAGUUUUGUUGAUGGAAGUGCCCUGCCCUGGUAGAAUCAUAGAACUGCAGAGCUGGAAGGGACCCUGGGGGUCAUCUAGUCCAACCCUCUGCAAUGCAGGAAUCUCAGCUAAUCUAAUGACAGAUCCCACUCGGCUUUUCCUCAGUUUCUCAUUUUGCCAAUCUUAAACUCAGCUCUCCACAUUCUCACAUUGGUUUUGGAUUUUUUUUUUUUUGGCUCGCUAAAUUCAUCGGCAUUUUCGUGUGAAUUUGUCCUACCGCACACAUUUUUCCAACCAAUUUUCAUUAAUUAAUGCAUUUUUUACUAAAUAAAUAAAUAUUUAUUAUUUAUACCCUGCCCAUCUGGCUAGGUUUCCCCAGCCACUCUGGGGGGCUUCCAACAAAAUAUUAAAAUACAGUAGUCCUUCAAACAUUAAAAGCUUCCCUAAACAGGGCUGCCUUCAGAUGUCUUCUAAAAGUCUGGUAGUUGUUUUUCUCUUUGCCAUCUGAUGGGAGGGCGUUCCACAGGGCGGGUGCCACUACCGAAAAGGCCAUCUGCCUCUGCCUGGUUCCUUGUAACUUGGCUUCUCGCAGCGAGGGAACCACCAGAAGGCCCUUGGUGCUGGACCUCAGUGUCCGGGCAGAACGAUGGGGGUGGAGACGCUCCUUCAGGUAUACUGGACCGUGGCCAUUUAGGGCUUUAAAGGUCAGCGCCAACACUUUGAAUUGUGCUCGGAAAUGUACUGGGAGCCAAUGUAGAUUUUUUGAGAUCGGUGUUACCUGGUCUCGGCGGCCACUCCCAGUGAACAGUCUAGCUGCCGCAUUCUGGAUUAGUUGUAGUUUCCGGGUCACCUUCAAAGGUAGCCCCACAUAGAGCACAUUGCAGUAGUCCAAGUGGGAGAUUAUCAGAGCAUGCACCACUCUGGAGAGACAGUCUGCGGGCAGGUAGGGUCUCAGCCUGCGUACCAGAUGGAGCUGGUAGACAGCUGCCCUGGACACAGAAUUGACCUGCGCCUCCAUGGACAGCUGUGAGUCCAAAAUGACUCCCAGGCUGCACACCUGGUCCUUCAGGGGGCACAGUUACCCCAUUCAGGAGCAAGGAGUCCUCCACACCUGCCUGCCUUCUGUCUCCCCAAAACAGUACUUCUGUCUUGUCAGGAUUCAACCUCAAUCUGUUAGCCACUAUCCUUCCUCCAUUUCUGUGGACACUUUACCCCAGUAUGUGCAUUUUUCUUCAACUUAGGGCUUGUCCAUAUUUCCACUUUUUAUGUGACCAUAAAGCAAAUAUGUGAGAGUUUUCUGGUUGUCCUAUGCACAGAGAGGUUUUUGUUUAUCCUGCCACUUUCCCUGGGAAAACCUGCUUUUUCCUGCUGAAUUGGAACAAUGCCUGAACACUAUAGUUUACCCCUCACAGAGCUACACCCUUAAAGAACUACAUCUCCCAGGAUUCUUUGGGAGAAAUCAUGUGCUUCAAAUGUACGGUGGAUCUCUACAUAUUUCCUUUUCUUCCUCCUUGUUUAAUAACGGUUACAAGAUCAGGCUCUGUUGCCACCAUCUACUGAUUGUAACAUUAUUACACCUCACGCGCAAUCGAGCAUAAAGGCCCAUAUCACUCCAAGACAUCUAUAGUCUCUAAAACAGAGCCUGAAAGAUUUUUAUCUUGAAGGGCAGCCCCAGAGACAAAUGCGCAAUGCCCAGCUCAUUAAUUUCUUUUGAAAGAGAGGCUCUCUUUCAUCCAUGUGUGGCAAACAACCCCAUAUUACAGUCAGCUGUUUCCUUUACCUUAGAAACUUCACCAAGAUCAGUGUAAAUCUUCCCACCAAAAAAGGUAAAGGCAAAGGACCCCUGACAGUUAAGUCCAGUCGCAGAUGACUCUGGGGUUGCGGCGCUCAUCUCGCUUUACAGGCCGAGGGAUCUGGCGUUUGUCCGUAGACAGUUUUUCCAGGACAUGUGACCAGCAUGACUAAGCCGCUUCUGGCGAAACCAGAGCAGCACACGGAAACGCCGUUUAGCUUCCCGCCGGAGUGGUACCUAUUUAUCUACUUGAACUUUUGGGCAUGUUUUCGAACUGCUAGGUUGGCAGGAACUGGGAUGAACAACGGAAGCUCACCCCGUUGCGGGGAUUCGAACCACCAACCUUCUGAUCAGCAAGCCCAAGAGGCUCAGUUGCUUAGACCACAGCACCACCCGCCUCUUUCCAACCAUACAUAAAUUACUCCGAAGUAACGUGGGUCUGUCUGUCGCUCUGAACCAGCUUCUGCCAAACUAGCAGUUCAAAAGCAUACCAGCGCAAUGGUGAACGACAUUUCUCUGUAUUCUGGUCCUCUGUGCAGCAGUAGCAGCCCAUGGUCAACUGGGCUUCACUGUCCAGGGUUCCUUUACCUUUACUCCAAAGAGCACAAUGUCCCGUCAAAAUUCUCAACAGAAUGACUUUCUCAGCUCCCUUCUUAACUUGAAAAACCAAAAAUCUGGCUCUGCGCUUUCACUCAGGCCUGCUGCUGCCUUUGCUCCUGGGUCUGAUCUUGGCUGGACUAAAGUGCUGGUGGUCUCAUGAACCUGUGUCAUGGGCUGGCUGGAUGCAGAGGAGUGGGUGGGGGGAGGCACCAGCUUGGGAACCCCCAAGGGAAGAAGGCUCAGAGCCAGGGGACUGCUGGUGGGAUGACAAUGCAUGGUCAGAGGGAGAAGAGGGAGCAGACUGGGAGGAGGAGGUGUCGGAAGCUUAAGAAGUAACAGGGUUUAGUGAGAUGGGAGAGACUGUGGCAGAGAGCAGUUCAGGAUUAGAGGAAGAAGUAGAGGCUGUUGAGGAGGGCGGCCAAAAAGCAGAGAUGAAUCAGGCUGAUGCAGAAGUCAGGGGGCUCCCCCUCCUGCUGCAACCAGCUUCCCUCCCCGCUGGAUUCACAGAACCAGAAAAGAUAUGAAGAGGGUGGAGCACAGCCAGACAAGGCGACAAAGUCCCAGACUGCUUUGGAAGGACCUGGGGGAGGAGGAGCCUUCGGAAGUUGUGGGAAGGCGGAGGCCUUCAGUCCUCACGUCUCAUUGGGGCAAGAUCUACUGGGAAGAGUUGCUGUGCUCACUAGGCCUGGCCUCCUGAGCUUUCUUGCUUCUUUGAAUAAAGAGUUAACUUCACUGACGCCAUGUGAGUUAUUGCUGACCUGCUCCUGACAAGCAGAGUAUUUCCCAGUAUGGUGGUCUCAGGCUCGUCAUUGGUGUCUUCUCAUGUCCUCUUGAACUUGGUAAGGAGCUUCUCUUCCUCUCUGGUCCAUUCCAGUCCUAGGCUGGUACCACCAGGAAGUGGAGAGACACAACCAGCAGAAAUUGGGUCAAUAACGGACUGGUGGCUUAUGAGUGGAGCCAAGCAAAUCCUGAAGGUCAUGGAUGGCAGAACGUGGAACUUCUUUGCGCUGGGUUCUCCAACAGAACAUUCCAUGGCCAGCAAGUGGAUUUCUAGGUGGUCAUUACAUGGAGCAGCAGUUAAGGUGUUGGAAAUAAACUGGGAGUGGUCCUGUCCUGUCCUGCAGUCUGACAAGGCCAGGCUCAUCUUUGGGGAAUGCAGAGGUCUGAAAUUGCCCCAGCAAGGAACAAGCCUAAACUGAACCCUUUCAUAAGAGAUAACACCAGGUGCAGCCUAACUAUUAACACCAGUUGUGUUGCAAGAUGCUUAAAGGGUUCCGGACUUCUCCGGUAACUUCCAGAUGUGACAGAGCAGGAGAAGCUCAAGUCUUCCAGGGUCUUUCACAAUGUGGACCUCAGAGUCAGACAGUGCCACACCUUCAUUCUGGGAGCAGGUGGUGGACCCACAGGUUCACUGCUAUAGCCAUGUCUCUGGGGCUGGCACAGGGUGCCCUUCAGAACCCUUGACUCUGUCACCUGAUGAAGAAUCCAACUCCUGAUCUCUGACAGAUCCAAGUUCAAAUCCCUCCUCAGCCACAGAGCUUGCUGGGUGCCUUUGGACAACAGGCUUUCAGUUGGACCUGACUUUACAGGAUCAUCGUGAGAGUAAAACUGUGCAGGCAUGUCACAAAACCUCUUUGAAAGAAGAGAGGGAUAAAAAUGUAAUAAAUGUGAACCAAUUCCUAGACUCUGGCUUGAGACGGUUAACCUGGACCAGUGCCCAGCCAGCUUGGUUGUGACCUUUUUGUGAAGAAAAACUAAACUGGCCUCUUUCUUUGGGUGGAAAGGAGAGAAUAAUGGGAGAGGCUGAGAACUAUGCAGGCUUUAGAUGGAGAUGGGGCAAAAGAAAAAAAAGGAACAGCAGGUCAUUUGGAGAACAGCUAUUAGCCCGAUCCCAUUCCUUUGUCACGAAUUCAAAAGCCCCAUUAUUCUUGAUGCCUGCCCCUCCGCUUCUACUUGACCCCAGAGCAGCUGCCAAUUCUUCAUGAACUGUGCCACUAGUGUCCCCUCCCUCUGCCCCUCCACAACUCACUGUGAAGACAUCUAAAGCAGGGCAACCUCUCCGCAGCCCUUCCUCUUUCCUUGUUCCUUCAGUUUGACUUGCAGACCAAGUUUCAUUUGUGUUGUUGAGGAUACAGUCUAGGAUGGAGGGAUGGAGGAAUAUGCCAAUUCUGGUUCCUCUCAGUGUCUCAUUUUGCCCAGUCUUAAGCUUGGCGCUCCACAUUUCCACAACAGUUCGUUCUUUUGCAUUUUAGUGAAAAGUUCUCCUAAUAUACCCAUCUGUGCAUGCUGUUUUGUCUAAUAUAAACAUCUUUGCAAAGCAUUUCCCCACAAUGUAAUGCAUUUUUGCAGUGUCAUUUUCACUAAUACAGUGGUACCUUGGGUUAAGAACUUAAUUCAUUCUGGAGGUCCGUUCUUAACCUGAAACUGUUCUUAACCUGAGGUACCACUUUAGCUAAAGGGGCCUCCCGCUGCUGCCGCGUGAUUUCUGUUCUCAUCCUGAAGCAAAGUUCUUAACCCAAGGUACUAUUUCUGGGUUAGCGGAGUCUGUAACCUGAAGCGUCUGCACCUGAGGUACCACUGUAUGUGCAUUGAAUGCACACUUUACAUGAGUAGAUGCAUUUUUACACACUACUUGAGCUGGAGAAUUGCAUUGCAAAAUUCAGGGAAGUGCAGAUUUCAAAGGGUGGCUAGUUGCUGAAGAAAGUGCAGAUUUAGAUAACUUUGGCUGUCAGUGAGAACUGAAUCGAAUUCCUCUUCUAAUUUCUACCAGGACAUCACACCCUCUGGUAGUUGUCAUUGACCUCUUUCAAACUGUGAUAAAUUUUCAUUCCCCCAGCACAGCAGUAGAGGCUCAUGAAAUCAUAAUUAAUACACUUUCCCGCUUUCAUUCUUUUUUUGUUUCUUUUAAACGAAGAAAAUCCUACAGUUCAAGCUUCCCAAACAACCUCCCAUCUGCCUCACAUGCUGUGGCAAUGAACUCUUCCAGAUGGCAUCUGAGCAUCCUCACGGAUGGCUCUGCGUGCUAAUGGCUCCCAGCUAAUUCUUAAUAACGAGCGAGAGAACAUCUGGAAUGGAUCUGGGUGCCUUGUUAGAGUCCCUUUUACCUGAGCAGAGAAACUGCAAUUAUGCUCUGACAACGGGAAUAUUAGAAUUAAUUGCACAGCACAAGGCGGGACUACCCUGCUCUCAGAGGGCAAUUUUGGUUAGGGCAAGUCGAGUUCCUUCCGUUGGCAAGAAAUACCAUGUGGAAAUAAUGAGCUGUGUUUUUGUCCAGACCUAUGCCACUUCUAGCAGUUCAAGAAGCCUAGAAAUUUCAAAGACCUGUAGCCAGAUGCAAUAUUACUGAAUUAUAUCUAUGGCAGUUUGUUCCAAUUCCUGGCCUAAGGGCUGCAUGUGGCCCUUGAGGCCAUUUUUUGGUUGCCCUUGGCAACUUCUGAGGCCCCCAAUCUGGUGUCCCCCAGAUGUUGGACCACAACAGGAGCAGGAACAUUUUACAUCCCAAGCCUUCACACACCUCUCUCCCCCCUUCAUCCAAGGCAAAGAGGCAUUGUCAGAGUUGAAGAGUGUUUUUCCAGCCAGGCAAAAGCAAUAAUGGAGGGUGCAAAGCAAGACCAGUGGGGAGGGUGGGUGGAGUGGCCUGGGGAGAGUGCUGAGGGGCCAGAGAGAAAGGCUAGGAGGACUCCAUUCAGCCACCAGACCUGUCCUUCUCCACUACUAGGCUCCAAGAUCUGAAGACCAUCAGGUUGGGACAGCCACAUAUGUGUUACCCAUGAGUUUAUUCUUGAAGAAGUUUCACCUUGGCUGCUUUUGACCAGUGUUGGUGCUUCCUCUCACUUGCCUGCUGCUGUGUGACAGGAGGUUUUCUCUGUCUUGACUCUUCUAAAUUCUGCCACUCAGGAUUGAAGGGACGUGGACAGGUCCUUCAGCCCUGCUGUGAUUUGCGAUGCCCAAAGGACCAGCCCUUUGUUCAGCUUCCUGGAAGAUGUUCUCCAUCCACCCGCACUUUCCUGUCCACCUGCUGAGAUCUCUCAUCACACAAAUGAAGCGUUGCCAGCUUCCUUCUUCCAGGCUGUUGCUGCUCAAUGAGGCGUUGUAUGCGAAACUUCUUCCUCAUCCAGUAGUUGCAACAAAAUUCUGUGAGUUUGAUUCCACCUGCAGCUCUCCUGGUUAACGCUGUCGCUUUAUGGAUUCUGGUCGCCAGGCGGUGUGGGAGGAAAGCUUGGUGCUGUCUGGAGGUGCUGGGAUUUGUGCACAGUUCACUGUGCGGUGAACCACUGAACUGCGGAUGGCAGCUUCUUAGCAAAGUACCUUCUGGGCUGCUGCUGUCUACCCAGACUGGUCAUUAGAUCUCCUUGAGAUUGCUUGUAGCUCUCUCUAGUCAUGUUUUCUGUUCCCCCCUCCAUAUAUAUAUAGCAGUAUCAUCUGUGGUGCAAAUAUAUGUUAUAUGACUAGUGAUGCUUGAGGAAUGAAAUCUUUGCAAGUCCCUACAUGAGAUGAUCUGAUCCACACCUCAGAGUAAUGUGCAGACUGAAUUUAGCAACCCACCAGGUUUUGCACUUUCUCCAAAUGUUGGAACGCCGUUCUCUGCAAUCUAAGCUAAAUAAUAUCAAACAUGCAUUUUAAUCCACGUUUUGAGAGGCAACACUCAUUAUGUAUCUUAAGAAUAGGUGCACAUUUAAAUACACAAUAAAAUACGGAUUUAGAUAGCAUUGUGAGAAGUUUUUUAAAGGAGUAGCUGAAUAAUAAAGGUAAAGGGAC
Non-coding RNA from Podarcis lilfordi (Lilford's wall lizard), 12070 nucleotides. Lineage: Eukaryota; Metazoa; Chordata; Lepidosauria; Squamata; Lacertidae. The record is from the annotation of a GenBank genome assembly.